Long non-coding RNA from Sipha flava (yellow sugarcane aphid), 755 nucleotides. RefSeq lists it as uncharacterized. Lineage: Eukaryota; Metazoa; Arthropoda; Insecta; Hemiptera; Aphididae. The record is from RefSeq and is a predicted model, not a curated record. The transcript has 2 exons.
AAAACACUGCGAGGAAUUAAAUGUAUACCGUCGUACAGCGGACGAACAAGAAUAAUAAAUACGACACAUUAUCUCGAGCGCCACGGGCAGAUACGUGUCCGUAUGCCCAUCGUGCACGAGACGUUGUAAUCGGAUCAGACGAACGUCGCAUUUAGGCGUUAUAAUGUCGAAACUAGGAUUUCGUUGAAACUACUUAAAGCAAUUAUACUGCGAAACAAGUGCGUUCACGUCCUACUGUUACCAACAAUACCGUACACCGGCCCGUCGUUAUCCGCGUACACGCACGUCACACGGGUUUCGCGUACAUGCAAAUACAUUUCGUUUGACACGCUACCGCUGGAGUGUACGCAAUGUUAUCAACUCGAGUGUUGGAGAGUUGGAUUCGUAUGGAAGUAUGAUAAACAGAGAUGUUGAAUUUUUUAUUAAAAAAAAAUAAAACGACAAAGUAUACGGUUUUUUCUUGUUUAGAACUACUUUUUUUUUUUCAUAAAUAAUUUUAAUGUUUUAUACUUUCAACGUUUUGAACAGAAUGAAAAAAAACAUACGAUUCAAACUAUUCGAGGCGUACACUAUGCAUUAUAAGUGUAAUGCGUACAAUGCAAAUAAAUUAAAACGUAAAUAGAUAGCGAACAAUAUGGUUCAAUUCUUUACUCAAACAAUUAAAACAGAUGUGUUCGUCUACUGGUCGAAUAUAAUUGUUAAUACUUAUUUACAUAAUUGAAAUGUAUUAUUAUGGUUUGUAAUUUUUAAAUAUC